Molecule: ribosomal RNA, 570 nt
Filed under: uncultured bacterium
Lineage: Bacteria
Description: partial 16S ribosomal RNA
Rfam family: Bacterial small subunit ribosomal RNA
Source: RNAcentral
UGGGGAAUUUUGGACAAUGGGCGAAAGCCUGAUCCAGCAAUGCCGCGUGUGUGAAGAAGGCCUUCGGGUUGUAAAGCACUUUUGUCCGGAAAGAAAUGGCUCUGGUUAAUACCUGGGGUCGAUGACGGUACCGGAAGAAUAAGGACCGGCUAACUACGUGCCAGCAGCCGCGGUAAUACGUAGGGUCCAAGCGUUAAUCGGAAUUACUGGGCGUAAAGCGUGCGCAGGCGGUUGUGCAAGACCGAUGUGAAAUCCCCGAGCUUAACUUGGGAAUUGCAUUGGUGACUGCACGGCUAGAGUGUGUCAGAGGGGGGUAGAAUUCCACGUGUAGCAGUGAAAUGCGUAGAGAUGUGGAGGAAUACCGAUGGCGAAGGCAGCCCCCUGGGAUAACACUGACGCUCAUGCGCGAAAGCGUGGGAGCAAACAGGAUUAGAUACCCUGGUAGUCCACGCCCUAAACGAUGUCAACUAGUUGUUGGGGAUUCAUUUCCUUAGUAACGUAGCUAACGCGUGAAGUUGACCGCCUGGGGAGUACGGUCGCAAGAUUAAAACUCAAAGGAAUUGACGGGGU